RNAcentral lists this ribosomal RNA (1356 nucleotides) under Pseudomonas fulva NBRC 16637 = DSM 17717. RNAcentral's name for it is "bacterial LSU rRNA". It matches the Rfam family "Bacterial large subunit ribosomal RNA", at positions 1588 to 2925 of the family's 2925-position model. Lineage: Bacteria; Pseudomonadati; Pseudomonadota; Gammaproteobacteria; Pseudomonadales; Pseudomonadaceae. The record is from RNAcentral.
AAGUGGUUGAUACCAUGCUUCCAAGAAAAGCUCCUAAGCUUCAGAUAACUGGGAACCGUACCCCAAACCGACACAGGUGGUUAGGUAGAGAAUACCAAGGCGCUUGAGAGAACUCGGGUGAAGGAACUAGGCAAAAUGGCACCGUAACUUCGGGAGAAGGUGCGCCGGCGAAGGUGAAGGGCUUGCCCCGUAAGCUUUUGCUGGUCGAAGAUACCAGGCCGCUGCGACUGUUUAUUAAAAACACAGCACUCUGCAAACACGAAAGUGGACGUAUAGGGUGUGACGCCUGCCCGGUGCCGGAAGGUUAAUUGAUGGGGUUAGCGCAAGCGAAGCUCUUGAUCGAAGCCCCGGUAAACGGCGGCCGUAACUAUAACGGUCCUAAGGUAGCGAAAUUCCUUGUCGGGUAAGUUCCGACCUGCACGAAUGGCGUAACGAUGGCGGCGCUGUCUCCACCCGAGACUCAGUGAAAUUGAAAUCGCUGUGAAGAUGCAGUGUAUCCGCGGCUAGACGGAAAGACCCCGUGAACCUUUACUAUAGCUUUGCACUGGACUUUGAAUUUGCUUGUGUAGGAUAGGUGGGAGGCUUUGAAGUGGGGACGCCAGUUCUCAUGGAGCCAUCCUUGAAAUACCACCCUGGCAACUUUGAGGUUCUAACUCAGGUCCGUUAUCCGGAUCGAGGACAGUGUAUGGUGGGUAGUUUGACUGGGGCGGUCUCCUCCCAAAGAGUAACGGAGGAGUACGAAGGUGCGCUCAGACCGGUCGGAAAUCGGUCGUAGAGUAUAAAGGCAAAAGCGCGCUUGACUGCGAGACACACACGUCGAGCAGGUACGAAAGUAGGUCUUAGUGAUCCGGUGGUUCUGUAUGGAAGGGCCAUCGCUCAACGGAUAAAAGGUACUCCGGGGAUAACAGGCUGAUACCGCCCAAGAGUUCAUAUCGACGGCGGUGUUUGGCACCUCGAUGUCGGCUCAUCACAUCCUGGGGCUGAAGCCGGUCCCAAGGGUAUGGCUGUUCGCCAUUUAAAGUGGUACGCGAGCUGGGUUUAGAACGUCGUGAGACAGUUCGGUCCCUAUCUGCCGUGGACGUUUGAGAUUUGAGAGGGGCUGCUCCUAGUACGAGAGGACCGGAGUGGACGAACCUCUGGUGUUCCGGUUGUCACGCCAGUGGCAUUGCCGGGUAGCUAUGUUCGGAAGAGAUAACCGCUGAAAGCAUCUAAGCGGGAAACUUGCCUCAAGAUGAGAUCUCACUGGGAUCUUGAAUCCCCUAAAGGGCCGUCGAAGACUACGACGUUGAUAGGUUGGGUGUGUAAGCGCUGUGAGGCGUUGAGCUAACCAAUACUAAUUGCCCGUGAGGCUUGACC